AAAGAUCGCAGCCUGCGGCAGCUCCUACAGGAGGUUGCAUAUCUAUGUAGGAGCUGCCGCAGGCUGCGAUCUUU
RNAcentral lists this unclassified non-coding RNA (74 nucleotides) under Pseudomonas koreensis. Lineage: Bacteria; Pseudomonadati; Pseudomonadota; Gammaproteobacteria; Pseudomonadales; Pseudomonadaceae. The record is from RNAcentral.